Molecule: ribosomal RNA, 444 nt
Filed under: uncultured bacterium
Lineage: Bacteria
Description: bacterial SSU rRNA
Rfam family: Bacterial small subunit ribosomal RNA
Source: RNAcentral
UCGGGAAUUUUGGGCAAUGGGGGAAACCCUGACCCAGCAACGCCGCGUGAAGGAUGAAGUAUUUCGGUAUGUAAACUUCGAAAGAAUAGGAAGAAUAAAUGACGGUACUAUUUAUAAGGUCCGGCUAACUACGUGCCAGCAGCCGCGGUAAUACGUAGGGACCAAGCGUUGUUCGGAUUUACUGGGCGUAAAGGGCGCGUAGGCGGCAUGACAAGUCACUUGUGAAAUCUCUGGGCUUAACCCAGAACGGCCAAGUGAUACUGUCGCGCUAGAGUGCAGAAGGGGCAAUCGGAAUUCUUGGUGUAGCGGUGAAAUGCGUAGAUAUCAAGAGGAACACCUGAGGUGAAGACGGGUUGCUGGGCUGACACUGACGCUGAGGCGCGAAAGCCAGGGGAGCAAACGGGAUUAGAUACCCAGGUAGUCCCUGAGCGGGCUGGCAAGGCG